RNAcentral lists this ribosomal RNA (159 nucleotides) under uncultured bacterium. RNAcentral describes it as "partial 16S ribosomal RNA". It matches the Rfam family "Bacterial small subunit ribosomal RNA", at positions 1341 to 1500 of the family's 1533-position model. The record is from RNAcentral.
AUGGCAGGUCAGCAUACUGCCGUGAAUACGUUCCCGGGCCUUGUACACACCGCCCGUCACACCAUGAGAGUUGGGAAUACCCGAAGCCUGUGAGCUAACAUUAAGAGGCAGCAGUCGAAGGUAGAAUCAAUGAUUGGGGUGAAGUCGUAACAAGGUAUC